This 458-nucleotide ribosomal RNA is filed under the name Theileria annulata. RNAcentral describes it as "SSU rRNA". It matches the Rfam family "Eukaryotic small subunit ribosomal RNA", at positions 486 to 984 of the family's 1831-position model. The record is from RNAcentral. Lineage: Eukaryota; Apicomplexa; Aconoidasida; Piroplasmida; Theileriidae.
CGGGGCUUAAAGUCUUGUAAUUGGAAUGAUGGGAAUUUAAACCUCUUCCAGAGUAUCAAUUGGAGGGCAAGUCUGGUGCCAGCAGCCGCGGUAAUUCCAGCUCCAAUAGCGUAUAUUAAAAUUGUUGCAGUUAAAAAGCUCGUAGUUGAAUUUCUGCUGCAUUGCUUGUGUCCCUCUGGGGUCUGUGCAUGUGGCUUUUUUCGGACGGAGUUUCUUUGUCUGAAUGUUUACUUUGAGAAAAUUAGAGUGCUCAAAGCAGGCUUUCGCCUUGAAUAGUUUAGCAUGGAAUAAUGAAGUAGGACUUUGGUUCUAUUUUGUUGGUUUUAGGUACCAAAGUAAUGGUUAAUAGGAACAGUUGGGGGCAUUCGUAUUUAACUGUCAGAGGUGAAAUUCUUAGAUUUGUUAAAGACGAACUACUGCGAAAGCAUUUGCCAAGGAUGUUUUCAUUAAUCAAGAAC